Long non-coding RNA from Raphanus sativus (radish), 637 nucleotides. RefSeq lists it as uncharacterized. The record is from RefSeq and is a predicted model, not a curated record. Lineage: Eukaryota; Viridiplantae; Streptophyta; Magnoliopsida; Brassicales; Brassicaceae. The transcript has 3 exons.
CUUCAACAAAAGCCCUUCUUCUUGGUCUCUCACUGGUUCUUUGUCUGGAGAAUCAAGCUCUUGUUCUACAGAUCAUUGAAGCUUCGAGAAAGUAUGUCCCUCCUAUCCGUCCCGUUGGUAGAGGUGCUUGCGGUAUUGUCUGUGCUGCUGUGAACUCAGUGACUGGAGAAUAAGAGGCUAUUGAGAAGAUUGGUAAUGCUUUUGAUAAUGUUAUUGAUGCUAAGAGAGCUCUACGUGAGAUCAAGCUUCUAAGGCACAUGGAUCAUGAGAACGUAAAAACUUACCCAUCAUUUCUCAUAUUUAAGUUUCUUCAAGGACGAUAAAAACAGAGGAUACUCUGUUUCCUCUGUUUUUGUUUUCUUUAAUCUUCAAUCAAUCUGGGGGAAAUGAUGACAGGACAGCCUUUGUUUCCUGGAAAAGACUAUGUUCAUCAGCUAAGGCUUAUCACAGAGCUUGUAGGCUCUCCGGACAACUCGAGUCUUGGUUUCCUUCGGAGUGAAACGCAAGAAGAUACGUGAGGCAACUUCCACGAUAUCCUAAACAACAGUUUAUCGUGAUGGCUGCGAUGAAUCAACACUUAAAAGAAAGAAUUUACUUCGUGACGUUUGGACCUGUAGAUAUGGGCCAAUGGCAUUGA